This is a long non-coding RNA of Glycine soja, 178 nucleotides long. RefSeq lists it as uncharacterized. NCBI's taxonomy places the organism in Eukaryota, Viridiplantae, Streptophyta, Magnoliopsida, Fabales, Fabaceae. The transcript has 3 exons. The record is from RefSeq and is a predicted model, not a curated record.
UGAAGGCCAGGUUAUGUAUGUUGGGGAGAAGAUUGUUCCGAUCAAGCUUGAUCUUUGUGUUAAUCAUACGCUCGUGAAGGACCAAUUUUUAUGGGACUUGAACAACUUUGAGAGUGAUCAUGAAGAGUUUGCCAAAAUCUCUACAAGGACACGAGCAUUGAAUAUCCCGAGGUUGGAG